This 262-nucleotide ribosomal RNA is filed under the name uncultured bacterium. RNAcentral describes it as "partial 16S ribosomal RNA". It matches the Rfam family "Bacterial small subunit ribosomal RNA", at positions 91 to 354 of the family's 1533-position model. The record is from RNAcentral.
CUUAGUGGCGGACGGGUGAGUAACGCGUGGGUAACCUGCCUUGCACUGGGGGAUAACACUUAGAAAUAGGUGCUAAUACCGCAUAAGCGCACGGUCCUGCAUGGGACAGUGUGAAAAACUCCGGUGGUGCAAGAUGGACCCGCGUCUGAUUAGCUGGUUGGCGGGGUAAGGCCCACCAAGGCGACGAUCAGUAGCCGGCCUGAGAGGGUGGACGGCCACAUUGGGACUGAGACACGGCCCAAACUCCUACGGGAGGCAGCAG